UACGUAGGGGGCGAGCGUUGUCCGGAGUUACUGGGCGUAAAGCGCACGCAGGCGGUCUGCUAAGUUUGGAGUGACAGUUGGUGGCUUAACUGCCAAAGUGCUUCGAAAACUGACAGACUUGAGGGCUUCAGAGGGACACGGAAUUCCGGGUGGAGUGGUGAAAUGCGUAGAGAUCCGGAGGAACACCAAAGGCGAAGGCAGUGUCCUGGGGAGUACCUGACGCUCAGGUGCGAAAGCCAGGGGAGCGGACGGG
Molecule: ribosomal RNA, 253 nt
Filed under: uncultured bacterium
Lineage: Bacteria
Description: partial 16S ribosomal RNA
Rfam family: Bacterial small subunit ribosomal RNA
Source: RNAcentral